UGAACGCUAGCGACAGGCCUAACACAUGCAAGUCAGGGGCAGCACAAGGAGCAAUCUGAGGUGGCGACCGGCGCACGGGUGAGUAACACGUAUGCAACCUGCCUGUAAGCGGGGAAUAACCCGUUGAAAGACGGACUAAUACCGCAUAAUACUAAAUUACUGCAUGGUAAUUUAUUUAAACAUUUAUGGCUUACAGAUGGGCAUGCGCAUGAUUAGCUAGUUGGAGAGGUAACGGCUCCCCAAGGCAACGAUCAUUAGGGGUUCUGAGAGGAAGGUCCCCCCGCACUGGUACUGAGACACGGACCAGACUCCUACGGGAGGCAGCAGUGAGGAAUAUUGGUCAAUGGACGAGAGUCUGAACCAGCCAAGUCGCGUGCAGGAAGAAUGUCCUAUGGAUUGUAACUGCUUUUGCAGGGGAAUAAAGUGCAUCACGUGUGAUGUUUUGUAUGUACUCUGCGAAUAAGGAUCGGCUAACUCCGUGCCAGCCGCCGC
This 492-nucleotide ribosomal RNA is filed under the name uncultured bacterium. RNAcentral describes it as "bacterial SSU rRNA". It matches the Rfam family "Bacterial small subunit ribosomal RNA", at positions 30 to 518 of the family's 1533-position model. The record is from RNAcentral.